This 334-nucleotide long non-coding RNA is filed under the name Phoenix dactylifera (date palm). Its description in RNAcentral is "long non-coding RNA (PDAC_LNC022659)". Lineage: Eukaryota; Viridiplantae; Streptophyta; Magnoliopsida; Arecales; Arecaceae. The record is from RNAcentral.
UCGCUUAAUAAAGCUUCAUGUUUUCUUUUUUUUUCAUCACAAGAGAAAACCUAGAAACAACCACAUGUUAUUGAUGCAAUCAACCUUUGUACUUCAAUAAUUUUCUACAACAAACUUCAUACUAAUGGAAGGUUUGGAUUAUUGGAUCUACUUGUCAGCAAGAGUAACAUUUUUAAUAGCUAUAUAUUUGCUUACCGAGGUUAAAUUGGAGCAAUACAUACCCGAGGGAAUUAUAGCAGUUGUCAUAGGAAGGGUCAGCAAAGCCUUUCGGCCAUAUCUAUCAGAUAGAUUGCCAAUCAAAGGAGUUAUCAUGAGAGUUCCCAACCCUGUGAUC